Molecule: long non-coding RNA, 261 nt
Filed under: Mytilus galloprovincialis (Mediterranean mussel)
Lineage: Eukaryota; Metazoa; Mollusca; Bivalvia; Mytilida; Mytilidae
Source: RNAcentral
CAAAAUCCUGUCUGAAAAUUCAUGCUUAAACAUCAAUAUAUAUCAGAUGCAAACUUACCAGAAACUGAACUCUGUCUCUGUUAGUGUUACUCUGUUACUGGCUUGCAUAACAUGCACCUGUAUUAUUAUAUUUAUAUUUCGUAGAGUCAUGCAUCUAUUUCCAGUCUCAGAUCUGUGUCGAUUUGUGUAUUGCAUCACAGAUGUUGCAAAAGCGGGGCAAAAUAUACAUGUACCAGAGUGACAGUCAAACCCAUAGAUUGC